Molecule: long non-coding RNA, 917 nt
Filed under: Olea europaea subsp. europaea
Lineage: Eukaryota; Viridiplantae; Streptophyta; Magnoliopsida; Lamiales; Oleaceae
Source: RNAcentral
CCCAUACACCAAAAGGAGAGGGAAAAGGAUGUGAACAUUACAAUGACAAAAAGCACAUCACCUCACUUAUUAUAGUUCCAAGUUAGGAAUCUGUAAUGAUAUGAACAUAAAACAAUGAGGAAGUAGGUUGUUUAUAUAAAAAAAAUAAAAAAAAUAGUCCAGCGAAUUAAAACUUUUACAGCUCAUGAGAAAUUAACGAGUGCAACAUAUUGAUUUAUUCAGAUACAAGAACAGAAGACAUGUAAACAGAUUAAGCCCUUGUUUGAGCUCCAUUUUCAAAAAUCUAUUUUUCUCCAUACUCAUUUUUAACCACACAUUCUCUAAUAAGAAAAUUUUACACGUCAACCCAAAAAUUUUCCCCACUUUUUAAUCACGCAUUCUUCAAAAAAUAACUAUUUCAAGAUCUACUUUCCCCAAAUAAUGGAUCUCAAACAAGGUCUAUGCCAAAACUUAAGAGAAUGAUUUUGCAUUCCUAACAUGGCAAUCUUGCCAUUUGACCUCACUCACAUAUCACCACAGAAUCUAUAAAGUAAACCGUCCAUAAUACAAAAUUCACUUAGAUGAAUUUUCAGUUACCUACUAAUUAGUUGAGUGACCCAAAAGAUGGGCACACAAGAAUUUGUAUGCUGUUUAGUAUUUGUCAAAUAUAGUUCCCUUUGGUGUCUAUAUGGAUAAUGCUCCCUUUAUCGCAUAACAUUUAGAAUCCAGUAAAUUUCUCUCUUCUUUCUAAUUAUACAUUAUAACAUUAUUAAUUUGGCACCACCUUCUGCUCUAUGGAAUAAAAUUGGAGCAUAAUACAUCACAUUUGAAUAGUUGGAGAAAGGAAAUUAUAAGAUUGAGCAGAAUAUGAGCAGAUAAGAGGGAAAAAGGUAAAAUACUUACCUUUUAGAAACAUUUAUUGCCAUUUCAUUUCAAAU